Molecule: ribosomal RNA, 253 nt
Filed under: uncultured bacterium
Lineage: Bacteria
Description: partial 16S ribosomal RNA
Rfam family: Bacterial small subunit ribosomal RNA
Source: RNAcentral
UACAGAGGGUGCGAGCGUUAAUCGGAAUUACUGGGCGUAAAGCGCGCGUAGGCGGCUUUGCAAGUCGGGUGUGAAAUCCCCAGGCUUAACCUGGGAACUGCAUUCGAGACUGCAUUGCUAGAGUAUGGGAGAGGGAAGUGGAAUUUCCGGUGUAGCGGUGAAAUGCGUAGAUAUCUGGAGGAACACCGGUGGCGAAGGCGGGUCUCUGGGCCGAUACUGACGCUGAGGAGCGAAAGCGUGGGGAGCGAACAGG